This 853-nucleotide ribosomal RNA is filed under the name Sinosolenaia oleivora. RNAcentral describes it as "12S ribosomal RNA". The record is from RNAcentral. Lineage: Eukaryota; Metazoa; Mollusca; Bivalvia; Unionida; Unionidae.
AACACUUCGCUCUAAUGCAAAAUUAAUUAUUACUUACAAACUUCAUAUGGUAACCCACAUACUUUGCGACAGCAACCAUGCACAAGAGCUAGUUAAACACAGAACUCUUCACAUCAAGCACAGACUGCAAACUAGUCUAAGGCACUCACCCGCAACACCAAUGAACUAUAUUGUUACAUGUUAGGAAACUAGGCCACAGGUAAAGUAAAACGGAGUGACUAAAAGUGGUGCCAGCAGCCGCGGUUAAACCACAACUCAAAAUUAAUUUACUCAAAGCCAGAGUAAUUUAUUAGCUUAGACUAUAACCUUGCAGGUAAAGGUGAAAUUUAAACCUUAAUAACCAUACCCAAACCAGUCAUGAUAAACCAAUACUCUAACAAACCACACUACAAAACACGGAUUAGAUACCCGUCUAUUGCGUGGCCCAACACAUCAAACUCUAAAAACGAAAGUUCCAAACUUAAAGAGCGUGGCGGUAUUCUACACCUUAUUAGGGGAUCCUGUGGCUUAAUUCGAUAACCCACGAACACCAAAGCUUUGUUAGUUCUCAGUUUAUGUAUGGCCGUUUUAAGUCUGCAUACUAAUAAUAAAAAAGGAGACAUUAAAGAAACCAAAACUCUUAAUAACACAGGUAACAUAUAGCCAACACAAAGCAGCUCAUGGGAUACAAAUGAACACAAAUCACCAGAAAAAGAUUGCAAACUCUUCACUAAAGAAGGACUUAAAAGUAAGGCCAUAACAUUACUUUAGCCUGAACCAGAACUAGAAUGCGCACAAAUCGCCCGUCACUCCCGGUAAUUAAAUCGGGAUAAGUCGUAACACAGUAGGGGUAACGGAAGUUGCCCCUAUACAA